CCUGGUGGUCAUGGCGGGGUGGCUGCACCCGUUCCCAUUCCGAACACGGCCGUGAAACGCCCCUGCGCCAAUGGUACUUCGUUUAUUGUUAUCUGACGUUGGGCGGAAGCCCGGU
RNAcentral lists this ribosomal RNA (115 nucleotides) under Gillisella terrae. The record is from RNAcentral. Lineage: Bacteria; Pseudomonadati; Pseudomonadota; Alphaproteobacteria; Hyphomicrobiales; Rhizobiaceae.